ACUAUGUAGGCGAAGCUGGUCUCGAACUCCUGACCUCAGAUGAUCCACCCGCCUCAGCCUCCCAAAGUGCUGGGAUUACAGGCGUGAGCCACUGCGCCUGGCCUGUUUAUUCUCUUAAGAGAGAAAAUGAGGGGAUUAAUGGACUGUAGUUCUGGACAAGGUGGAAAACUCUUAAAGUGGAAGUACUGGGGCAAGUGCUCUGACAGGGUAGGAUGGUGCAGUCAGUCCCUUCACCCAGAAAUCAGUAGAAUGUUAGCAGUUCAGACUCAAACCUUGUGAAAAACAGGUGGUGGAAAGGAAAUCCCUCACAGCAACUGGCACCAUAAUCAAGACAAUGUUUACAGAAUAAAUGGAGUUACCUGCUUUCAGCCCCAGGUCGUAGCUAUUGUCUGCCCUGCUGAUAUGUGAUAAUAAUUUGUGAUCCUGUUGUCUUAAAAUGGGGUCACUCAUCUCCAGUAGAAUUAAGUCCACAGUGAAGUUGUCCCCCCAUCCCCAAAGAGAUAAACAUAUAUGAAUGAACUCACGUGAUAACAACUACUGCUGCCUGGGAUCAUGAGAGACCUGAACUGAACUGAUAGGAUGUGAAAGGUGGCUGAGAUAAUGAGAAUAGACCCAUCUGCAGAGGAUCAUAAAACCAGCAAAGACAAGAUCUUGUCUAAGAUGCCUUCACAAGCUUUGUCCAUGAGAACUCUUAAGGAUUUCACCAGACCUGUUGGCUGCUGCUGUGAUCUCUGCCCAAGAGGAGCCUCUGACCAACAUCCAAAGGGCUUCUGGACCCACUGGACUCCUCUGGAGGUACCUUGGUCUCCCGAUCCAUGGCUGUGGUUUUUUACUCCCUUUAUCACUGCCUGUGUGUAGAAUGAUAAUUGCACAAUUGAUAGUGUGAAGACCUCUUGAUAAAUGGUAAAUCUGAGCAUAUGUAUUUGGCUGACAUGUCAUUGUGAAACCUCACAGCUUCAGUCAGUGUCUCUCCAAGGACUAAACAAUGGAAGACUGUAGAAGAUGCUAUUCAUUAAGAUAUCGCAAGAAUAUGGAAGACUAUUAUUCGCUUCUCAUGGGACAGGACUUUUCAGGGCACCUGAAAAAACUCCCAUGAAAAAUCACUUUUACAAAAUGUCAAGUUAUGAUAUUCAAGAUGAAACCAAUGAGUCACAACAUUCACAUAAUACACUGUACAACCCUGAUCUCUUGACUGUCAUCAAAUGUUUCUUACCUCUAAACCAAAGUUUCAUUUUAUAAUUUAAUUUUUCUCAUUUUUUCCAUUCUCUUAGCUUAAGAAAAGAUCAUUACAAACUUUUUGUAAGUUUUUCAUAUAUGCUUGCAAAGGGUUGUAAAACUUUAUUGUGAUUAUUCUUGCUUUAAGCUGAAACAUCCCUAAUCUUUCUUUAGAGAUUGUGGCAUAGCAUGUUAGUUUCUUUUCCAUAUCCAAUUGUUUUCUGUAGUGAAUACAGAAAUACGGGCACUAUUUUGUAACUUUAAAUAGACAUCAUCUCAAGUCUACAAGAAUUAUCCAAAAUGGUAUUUAAUGACAUUUCUAGGUCUUCAGACACUAUUAAUGCAGAUUGUAGCCUCUAGGUCCUGAAGAUUUUACUAGAUACUGGUUACUGAAACUGAGCUUUCUUGAAUUCUUUUUCCUUCCACUGUGGUUUCCCGCAUUUCAACAUAUCACCUAUUUUUGUCCUCAAAGGUUACUUAAAUUUUUUCCACAGAAUUAAAUUAAAUAUGAAUCAUCCCUCCUCUGAUUUUUGAAAUGACCCUUUGCUUCCUAUGAUAAUGAUUCUUCUGGUCCGUUUUGUAGUUAUAUGUUAGAGUUUGUAAAUAGUCACACAUUUUGCAACUGCAUGUAAUUUUCUUAUUAUUUUUUCCUCUUCCUCUAAAACUGCUG
RNAcentral lists this long non-coding RNA (1885 nucleotides) under Homo sapiens (human). RNAcentral describes it as "long non-coding RNA NONHSAT229026". Lineage: Eukaryota; Metazoa; Chordata; Mammalia; Primates; Hominidae. The record is from RNAcentral.